CCUGUGGCUGGGGGUGAAAGGCCAAUCAAACCGGGAGAUAGCUGGUUCUCCCCGAAAGCUAUUUAGGUAGCGCCUCGUGAAUUCAUCUCCGGGGGUAGAGCACUGUUUCGGCUAGGGGGCCAUCCCGGCUUACCAACCCGAUGCAAACUGCGAAUACCGGAGAAUGUUAUCACGGGAGACACACGGCGGGUGCUAACGUCCGUCGUGAAGAGGGAAACAACCCAGACCGCCAGCUAAGGUCCCAAAGUCAUGGUUAAGUGGGAAACGAUGUGGGAAGGCCCAGACAGCCAGGAUGUUGGCUUAGAAGCAGCCAUCAUUUAAAGAAAGCGUAAUAGCUCACUGGUCGAGUCGGCCUGCGCGGAAGAUGUAACGGGGCUAAACCAUGCACCGAAGCUGCGGCAGCGAACGUAUCACCCAAGACAACUUUACGGAGUUGACGAUUGACGGAGCGAAGCGACGUCAAAGCGUUCAUUAAAGUCGAGUUGGCUUAGGGAUACGUUCGUUGGGUAGGGGAGCGUUCUGUAAGCCUGUGAAGGUGUGUCGUGAGGCAUGCUGGAGGUAUCAGAAGUGCGAAUGCUGACAUAAGUAACGAUAAAGCGGGUGAAAAGCCCGCUCGCCGGAAGACCAAGGGUUCCUGUCCAACGUUAAUCGGGGCAGGGUGAGUCGACCCCUAAGGCGAGGCCGAAAGGCGUAGUCGAUGGGAAACGGGUUAAUAUUCCCGUACUUGGUGUUACUGCGAAGGGGGGACGGAGAAGGCUAUGUUGGCCGGGCGACGGUUGUCCCGGUUUAAGCGUGUAGGUGUGUGUUCCAGGUAAAUCCGGUUCACUUUAACACUGAGGCGUGACGACGAGGCACUACGGUGCUGAAGCAACAAAUGCCCUGCUUCCAGGAAAAGCCUCUAAGCAUCAGGUAACACGAAAUCGUACCCCAAACCGACACAGGUGGUCAGGUAGAGAAUACCAAGGCGCUUGAGAGAACUCGGGUGAAGGAACUAGGCAAAAUGGUGCCGUAACUUCGGGAGAAGGCACGCUGACACGUAGGUGAAGUGAUUUACUCAUGGAGCUGAAGUCAGUCGAAGAUACCAGCUGGCUGCAACUGUUUAUUAAAAACACAGCACUGUGCAAACACGAAAGUGGACGUAUACGGUGUGACGCCUGCCCGGUGCCGGAAGGUUAAUUGAUGGGGUCAGCGUAAGCGAAGCUCCUGAUCGAAGCCCCGGUAAACGGCGGCCGUAACUAUAACGGUCCUAAGGUAGCGAAAUUCCUUGUCGGGUAAGUUCCGACCUGCACGAAUGGCGUAAUGAUGGCCAGGCUGUCUCCACCCGAGACUCAGUGAAAUUGAACUCGCUGUGAAGAUGCAGUGUACCCGCGGCAAGACGGAAAGACCCCGUGAACCUUUACUAUAGCUUGACACUGAACAUUGAGCCUUGAUGUGUAGGAUAGGUGGGAGGCUUUGAAGUGUGGACGCCAGUCUGCAUGGAGCCGACCUUGAAAUACCACCCUUUAAUGUUUGAUGUUCUAACGUGGACCCGUAAUCCGGGUUGCGGACAGUGUCUGGUGGGUAGUUUGACUGGGGCGGUCUCCUCCUAAAGAGUAACGGAGGAGCACGAAGGUUGGCUAAUCCUGGUCGGACAUCAGGAGGUUAGUGCAAUGGCAUAAGCCAGCUUGACUGCGAGCGUGACGGCGCGAGCAGGUGCGAAAGCAGGUCAUAGUGAUCCGGUGGUUCUGAAUGGAAGGGCCAUCGCUCAACGGAUAAAAGGUACUCCGGGGAUAACAGGCUGAUACCGCCCAAGAGUUCAUAUCGACGGCGGUGUUUGGCACCUCGAUGUCGGCUCAUCACAUCCUGGGGCUGAAGUAGGUCCCAAGGGUAUGGCUGUUCGCCAUUUAAAGUGGUACGCGAGCUGGGUUUAGAACGUCGUGAGACAGUUCGGUCCCUAUCUGCCGUGGGCGCUGGAGAACUGAGGGGGGCUGCUCCUAGUACGAGAGGACCGGAGUGGACGCAUCACUGGUGUUCGGGUUGUCAUGCCAAUGGCACUGCCCGGUAGCUAAAUGCGGAAGAGAUAAGUGCUGAAAGCAUCUAA
RNAcentral lists this ribosomal RNA (2080 nucleotides) under Salmonella enterica subsp. enterica serovar Typhimurium. RNAcentral describes it as "partial 23S ribosomal RNA". It matches the Rfam family "Bacterial large subunit ribosomal RNA", at positions 808 to 2784 of the family's 2925-position model. Lineage: Bacteria; Pseudomonadati; Pseudomonadota; Gammaproteobacteria; Enterobacterales; Enterobacteriaceae. The record is from RNAcentral.